Arachis ipaensis is the source of this 449-nucleotide non-coding RNA. The record is from RefSeq and is a predicted model, not a curated record. NCBI's taxonomy places the organism in Eukaryota, Viridiplantae, Streptophyta, Magnoliopsida, Fabales, Fabaceae.
GAUUCAGGAGAAACAGGGUUAAGCUUCCUAAACCACUCAACAGUCUAACUGGCUUCAAUGCAUUUUGGUACUCACAUCAUCUCUUUGUCAUUGUCUAUGCCUUGUUGAUUGUUCAUGGAAUCAAACUUUUCUUGACCAAAGAGUGGUACGAGAAAACGGGGUCUGAUUUAGAUAGUUUAUUAGAGUAGAAUAAUGUAACAUCUUCAGCCAAAAUAAUUGCUAGCUCAACACCUCUGAAGCAGAAUCAGAGGCAUGAAGGUAGUGCAAGGAUUAUUAGAAGCAUACUCUCAAACAAGGAAAUGUGCCAAAGUCAGUCAGCCAGGCCUCAAUCAGAGCAGGCAGUACCAACAUCUGAUCUACAAAAAGAAAGACAACCACCUCGUCCUGUACAUGUGCAAUUGAUUUCGAAGUAAUUUAUUUUUAGAGAAAUAAUUUGUAUUAUUAUGAGA